RNAcentral lists this ribosomal RNA (534 nucleotides) under uncultured bacterium. Its description in RNAcentral is "bacterial SSU rRNA". It matches the Rfam family "Bacterial small subunit ribosomal RNA", at positions 8 to 526 of the family's 1533-position model. The record is from RNAcentral.
AGAGUUUGAUCCUGGCUCAGAAUCAACGCUGGCGGCGUGCCUAACACAUGCAAGUCGAACGCGGUUAGUAGCAAUACUAACUGAGUGGCGAACGGGUGAGUAACACGUGGGUGACCUACCUUCGAGUGGGGGAUAACGUCCCGAAAGGGACGCUAAUACCGCAUAACAUCCUGCCUUUGAACAGGCGGUGAUCAAAGCCGGGGACCGUAAGGCCCGGCGCUUGAUGAGGGGCCCGCGUCUGAUUAGCUAGUUGGUGAGGUAAUGGCCCACCAAGGCGACGAUCAGUAUCCGGCCUGAGAGGGCGGACGGACACACUGGGACUGAGACACGGCCCAGACUCCUACGGGAGGCAGCAGUGGGGAAUUGUUCACAAUGGGCGCAAGCCUGAUGACGCAACGCCGCGUGGAGGAUGAAGGUCUUCGGAUUGUAAACUCCUGUUGCCCGGGACGAAAAGCUCUGACCUAACACGUCGGAGUCUGACGGUACUGGGUGAGGAAGCCCCGGCUAACUCUGUGCCAGCCGCCGCGGUAAUAC